RNAcentral lists this small RNA (119 nucleotides) under Marmota monax (woodchuck). The record is from RNAcentral. Lineage: Eukaryota; Metazoa; Chordata; Mammalia; Rodentia; Sciuridae.
GCUGGGCAUGGUGGCACACGCCUGUAAUCCCAGCAGUUUGGGAGGCUGAGGCAGAAGGAUCAUGAGUUCAAAUCCAGCUUCAGCAACUUAGCAAGGCCUCAAGCAAGACUCUGUCUCUA